ACCUACCUACGGGGGGCAGCAGUGGGGAAUAUUGCACAAUGGGGGAAACCCUGAUGCAGCGACGCCGCGUGAGUGAAGAAGUAUUUCGGUAUGUAAAGCUCUAUCAGCAGGGAAGAUAAUGACGGUACCUGACUAAGAAGCCCCGGCUAACUACGUGCCAGCAGCCGCGGUAAUACGUAGGGGGCAAGCGUUAUCCGGAUUUACUGGGUGUAAAGGGAGCGUAGGUGGCAGGGCAAGUCAGAAGUGAAAACCCGGGGCUCAACCCUGGGAGUGCUUUUGAAACUGUUUGGCUGGAGUGCAGGAGA
Molecule: ribosomal RNA, 305 nt
Filed under: uncultured bacterium
Lineage: Bacteria
Description: bacterial SSU rRNA
Rfam family: Bacterial small subunit ribosomal RNA
Source: RNAcentral